GACGAACGCUGGCGGCGUGCCUAAUACAUGCAAGUCGCGCGGACGAAUCGAAAGCUUGCUUUUGAUUCGUUAGCGGCGGACGGGUGAGUAACACGUGGGCAACCUGACCUGUAGACGGGGAUAACACCGAGAAAUCGGUGCUAAUACCGGAUAACACGAAAUGUCGCAUGACGUUUCGUUGAAAGACGGCGCAAGCUGUCGCUACAGGAUGGGCCCGCGGCGCAUUAGCUAGUUGGUGAGGUAACGGCUCACCAAGGCGACGAUGCGUAGCCGACCUGAGAGGGUGAUCGGCCACACUGGGACUGAGACACGGCCCAGACUCCUACGGGAGGCAGCAGUAGGGAAUCUUCCGCAAUGGACGAAAGUCUGACGGAGCAACGCCGCGUGAGCGAAGAAGGCCUUCGGGUCGUAAAGCUCUGUUGUUAGGGAAGAACAAGUAACGCAGUAACUGGCGUUACCGUGACGGUACCUAACGAGAAAGCCACGGCUAACUACGUG
This 498-nucleotide ribosomal RNA is filed under the name uncultured bacterium. Its description in RNAcentral is "partial 16S ribosomal RNA". It matches the Rfam family "Bacterial small subunit ribosomal RNA", at positions 28 to 507 of the family's 1533-position model. The record is from RNAcentral.